Molecule: long non-coding RNA, 3954 nt
Organism: Felis catus (domestic cat)
Lineage: Eukaryota; Metazoa; Chordata; Mammalia; Carnivora; Felidae
Exons: 4
Source: RefSeq, a predicted model, not a curated record
CUCGAAAGCCAGCUUCACGAUGAACCUGUCGUCAUAGCACACCACUCGCCUCCCCUGCACUCGCCUGGAGGGCGUGAACACCAGGAUCUUCUCCUUCUCUAAUUUGCGCAGGAUUUCUUGAUCUGCAGGAACAAUCAGGGCUACUUCUCCAUGUUUAUUAACUGGAAUGGCUAAUUUAAAAAAAAAAAAAAUCGCUCUCUCCAGCGACUGAUCACGGCUGUGCUAUGAUACCAUGCUAUGGUAUGUGAAGCAUCAACCGCCACCAGCAUUAAGAAGGACCUCUCUUCGGGAAGCCAUCAGUCACUGGAGGAACAUGCAAACCAAGUAAGCAAAGGCUGGAAUUGCCACAACAGAAGGAUGAGCAGGGGACCCGGGAGGAGGGAACGCAAGAGCCAUUAGGGGUCUGCUGGCUCUGACGCUGGCAUACGGAUUUCAGUGACGUUCCUGACAUGAGAUCACCGAGACCAGAAGGUUGGUGUAGAAAAGCGGCAGAAUAGAAGUGGUGGAAACGGGGGUGUUCUCAUCAGCGAAUCAUGGGUAAAUCUCGGGUUCUGGCACUUUCUGUAUCCGGCAGUCAUAUCUUAUUGAGCCGGAGAGGCAGUCGGUCGGGUGGGAGAAGUCAGUGAGUCAGAGAGUUGUCAUGUGGCAAAGCACUCAGCACAGUGCCUGGCGAGUUCUCAAUAAACACCCUUCUUCAACUUAAUUUGAGAUAAAAAUCGCAGAAAACCAAUACAAAAUCAGAAGCCUGGUCUCAACUGUAAGACUUAUCCUACUCUAAUUAUUUGUGCUUCCCUGAUAGAAGAGACGUGGUGCCUGCCCUCAGAACGUUUAUGGCCACGGCCUUCGGCACGGUAGCAGAUACUCCGUAAGCGUCUGCAGAAUGAAGACAUGAGAUACUCUAGAGAUGCAUAUUCUGGGGUCCUCCAGGUUCCUGACUGUGUUCAUGAAUAACCCUGGUACUUGAUCUGUGGGAGUGUUUCCUCAUACGUGGUAUGCCACGAAGCGACUGAAGAAACCAGUGUGGUGGCCUAACGGUCAUCUUGCUUAAUCUGCAUUUUCUGUAAUAGCUAAUGAGGUAAAAAGGACACUGAUUAGGAAAAGAAAUCCGACCUUAAAUAAAUACGGGUUCAGUAUGGUUAGUAGGUUUAAGUGGCUCUCAGAUUCCUCACACAGUCCCUGAUACAUAGCUUGGUGCCUGGGAAGUAAGUGUUAACUUGCCGGAAGGCUGGCAGACACACUAGUCUGAAUCUUUAGGUGACAACUUGCAAGAUUUGUCAUGUUUUUAAGACGGUGAAAAAAUAACGGACUGUUAGCCAGGUAUGACCUGGUUACAGGUUUUAGUUACAACGAUGUCCCUGAGGGAGAAAACCCCUAACGGCCUUUAAGCGACCCCUGAACAGCACAGGACUUAGGGUACUUGCUGACCCCAGACGCGGUCGAAAAUCCACGUAACCUUGGACUCCCUCAAACAUGACUACUGUAGGCCAGUCGACAUGUAUUUUCUUUGUUGUGUGUAUUAUACACUGUAUUCUUCAAGUAAGCCACAGUGAAGACGGUCCCGUGAGAAUUACACGACCGUAUUGUAAAAGGUCGGCUUCAGAGUGGACCGGCGCAGCUCAAACCGUGCUGGUCAAGGGUCCGCCGUAGUUGCGUGCAUUUUACAAAGUCAGCCGCAGCCUGAGGUGUUCCGGAGGCUUGGCAGGCUGGCCUCUUAAACCCAGCCACUCUCCCCCUCCCUGUGGUCAUUUCCCCUCCUUCUUGGGCUCAUGUUCCUCUCGUGCUCAAGCUUUCCAGGCAUUGACAUGUUUCAAUAUGUUUUCUUUUUCCAUUUAGCUUUCCCCCGAUCACUGAAGUAUUACAAGUUCCUUGAGCAAAAUGAGGAAAGGUAAAGGGAAAUACUAAGAAGUGGGGAGAAACAAAACCUCACGAAGUCAUGACGCAGAGUCAAUUAGCGUGAACACUUCGGCUAGUCGUUUUCUGCGUAUUGUGUCCUCUCCAUCGGUGAUCUACGUACACACAUGCAUGUGUAUACGUGCACAUGUACACGCACACAGUAAUAAAUCCUUUCACGUAAAAGACCACUUCCUCGGAUCGUUAGAAGUUCUGCCCAAAUACUCGCAUACUCUGACUCCCCGAACCGUUCUAACGAAGCAGGUGAAAACACGGAGGUCCAAAGAUGUUCAUUCAGCAUGAUGCUCCCGGUCAAUGGCUGCUUGAGCUCCAUAAUGGAGACAAAUAUUCUUUACUUCUUGGUGCUAAGGAGGGGGUGAAUCAAGUAAGGUAAGUAAAUGCUCUGUUCAUUUUUAGCACAAACUGAACAUUAGGUGUAUUAAUAUAGUCUCGUAGACUCCUCCGAGGAAGUACUGGAACCAUCUAUAUCAUCCUUUUAAGGAUAAAACAGAGAUAGACCGACCUGCCCUGUAGAUACCGAAGGCUGGAGAUGCAGACUGCAGUGUUAAUACUCCACGUUCCAAAAACCGGGCUGGGGCAAGGUUAGGGGCAGAAUCAGAGGCAGUAAAGUUUCAGAGAAAGGGAUACAGGAAGGGGGAGUCUGAGGUCCUAUUUCCUAGGUAAGAAGGGCUACACGAUGGUCCUGCCGAUGCCCCAGCAAAGGACAAAGUGAUGUUGAGUUUCAUAGAAAAUACUCAAAUCAGUCUUUUGAAAAGCUAUAGGAAAGAAUGGGAUCAUCCCUUAAGAGACUAUAUAUACCGUUCCUAAAUACAAACACUCGCUAAAAACUGACCGUAUUUUUAUUUUGUAUAAAUGCUUUGAAAUCUAAGUGUGUUGUACUUUGCUAGUCCCGAAUGACACCUGGUUUACUGAAGCUUGUGCAUUUUACUGCUUCUGCCUCUACAUGAGCACUUGCUCCCUGGUGACUUCACUUGGGAAGGGAAAUGGUCACAUUUUACUGCAGAAAUAGAAGAUUCUAUCUUCUAAUUAAAGAAUGUUCACAAAAUGUGUGGCAACAGCAAAUCAUUUACAGUCACAGAACAGAGAUUCUCCAGAUGCUUCAAGGGGUAUCAGGCCCCGCAAUCCUGAUGGUAAAGGUUGUUGUCCUCUCCUUGUCCCACACCCCCCGUUGCCAUCCGACCGGCCCAAGGCGGGAGGGGACCACACUGUGAAUGAUGCACAAGGACAUAAAGAAAGCCUGGUUUCUGAGCAGAAAGACAUGCACCUAUCUCUCGGACCUUGUUAUUUCACAAAAAAUACUUCCCCCAUUUUAAGAAACUGUAGUCAAGUUUUCUGUUAGUUGUAGCUAAGGACAUCCUUGUCUGCUUUUUUAGUUGUACCAUAAACUAAAGAAAACUUGGAAAGCUCUUUUAAUGUACAAAAACAGAGGGAUAAAAAAGUUAUUAAACAAUGGUAAAAAUGAAUUCACAAAAACGAACAGUAAAAACGAAUUUAGGAUAGGAAGCUAUCCUAAUUGUGAACUGAGUAAUGGAAAUGAUGAACGGAUUACUAGAAGAAAAAACAGUAAUUGAACGAUGAAGCAGAAAACAUUUAGUGAGAAUAUAGAUGACUGGCUCCAUGACAAGCUUGAUCUCAUGGACAUGCACAAGACCCUGCAGAGAAUAAGAGAAAAAUCUUUUCAAGACCAUGUGGAAGAUUUAUAAAAUUGGCUACGUACUAUGCCACCGAACAGAUUUCCACAGACAGGGCUGUAUCCUACCGAUAAUAUUCUUUUACAGCAUGUUAUUACACUGAAGAUACAAGGUUGUAGUUAAAAAAUUUGUACUGUUAUACAGUAGCAAGCCAAUUUAAAGUUUUAAUUAACAAAAAUCCUAUUUGUAAAAGUAACAAAAACUAAAGUCUAAGGAGGAAAAAGAGAGGCAAGAGUUUUAUAGAGAAAACAAAAAGAGAAAGCCUAUAAUGAAGGCAUAAGACAAGACCUGGGGACGCCUGGGUGGCUCAGUCGGUUAAGUGUCGGACGUGGGCUCAGGGGAUGAUCUCAUG